Non-coding RNA from Paramuricea clavata, 734 nucleotides. NCBI's taxonomy places the organism in Eukaryota, Metazoa, Cnidaria, Anthozoa, Malacalcyonacea, Plexauridae. The record is from the annotation of a GenBank genome assembly.
UACUGUAAUAGUAAUAAAGUCUCUGGUGUAGGAAAAUGCUCCGACUGUUAAAUAAAGUUUAACUAUAUUUUCCGUACAGUUUCUGUGCAGAGUUCGAGGGUUGAACUUCACGAAAAAUCACAGCAUUUUCCAACAAUGCCGACAUUUUGCUGGUGUAGUGUUUUAUAAAAAUCCGAUCAAAUAUGCUCAGGAAUAUAUUUGCUACUUUAUAGUUCUCACAAUUUUAUAGCUGCUCACACAAACGAGGAAUCAAGCCAUAUAAAAACAUUCUAAAAGUUUAUCUUGAUUGUUCCUUGGACAGAAUGUUGUGUAAAGUGGCAAUGCAAAGCAUCGAACAAAGCAUCAGUGGAGGAAACAGUAGCCAAACUGACCUGAAUCGAUGUGAUGUAAUCAAACCACGUCCUCUAAUAGUCAACGCAGCACGAGUUUUGUCUCUCCCUUUACUAUAUAGACUUGCACACUAUCUCUCACUGACUAAAAGAAAAAACCCUCUCGCCAUCAAUUUCUUGUAUAGCUUCGGUGAAUUCAGCGUCUGUUUCGUCUAACUGUAUUUCCGUUAGAGCAACAGACACAUCAAAGUUGUAUAAAUCCUCUGCGGUUGCAUCGUCUAGUUGCGAUAAAUGUCUUCGCCCUUCGUCCUCUUAUGCCUCGAUCAUAAACUGUUCACGACGCUCGCUUUCUUCGAUAUUUUCAUCUCCAACGUUCAAAAUAGGUUCGUAUGUUUGUUCGCUUUC